Molecule: long non-coding RNA, 1874 nt
Organism: Magnolia sinica
Lineage: Eukaryota; Viridiplantae; Streptophyta; Magnoliopsida; Magnoliales; Magnoliaceae
Exons: 9
Source: RefSeq, a predicted model, not a curated record
UCUACUGUUGUGGGCCUCUAUCUCAUUUGAUGAUUGCAAUCUAUACCAUGUGCAAUUUAAAUGGUAAUGCGCUAUUACAGAAUGUGUUGCACGAGGUUCCUAGAACUACGGUGACCUUUUGUCCAAGGCAGGUAAUGUCUAUCUAUGCCAUCCAAUUCUCAGAUGAGGGGAGUGGCACAUCAUGAAUUUUCUGUAGCAUGGAGCAGUUUCCUGAGCUUAUCACUGGGAGGGAGCUGGUUGAUCUCCCCUUCGAGAGAUCGUUUCAGAUUUCAGACAAAAGUUGGCCUGUGGAACACACCACAUUUCCAUUUCUAACUGUUUGUGGCUUCACCAUUCAUCAGACCAUGUGUGUCAAUCAGACACAAGUGCAAGAUCCAAGCUGUCCACCAAUUGAGUACCAGCUUGCAAAUGUCCUAUCCUAACAUUCAUGCUGCUCUAUUCUUGUUGACCAUAACAUUUGAAAUAGGGAAAUUUAGCAACUUUUUUUUUCUGCCCAUCCAUUUCUCUGUAUCUUGAACUCAUGUCAAUUUGCCAUAUGUGGUGGCAUGAAGGAGCUUGGGUUGUACACACAUUUGGGAUUAGAAAAACCCUGUUAGCAGAAGUACUAGUUAUUAACCUGCAUUGAGCUAUCUAUUUUUUGCUGUCUCUCUUCAUCACUAGAGUAAUUCUAUCCUUAAAAGAGUAUUGAAAUCCUUGUCAUGCUAUUUGGGUUCCCUUUUUGCAGGUGCAAGCUGGUCUUUCUGCACUUGAAGAUGCAAUGGAGGCAGGAUAUGAAGAUUUCAAGGGCCCAUCGUGAUGUUCAUAUGCCAUCCAAACCAUCCAUAAGGUCAUUCCCCUUCAUCAAAACAAAUUCAAGUUUCUUGAAGUAGUUCGACUCGAAGGACAUGCCAUCACCCAAAAAGAAGCUGUUCUGUUAAGAGAUAUCCAUCUCCCUUAGUGAUACGUCGGCCAGUCCCAAGCCCAGGUAAGGGAGGACUGAUGGCAAGUGGGUAACUGCUGUGAACUGCACAAGUGGAGAUGCUUCUCCGGAUUGUCAUUGUGUACUGAAACUCCAUAUAUCUUGGGUGACAAACACCCUUUCUGGAAAUGGACAGUCAAUAUGGUGUAGGAGGACAGACGAGCUUGUUGAUGGCUAGGUUUUCAUGUUCAUUUGGCUAGGUUUUGGAAGCCUUUGGAGUAGACCCCAUCAAGGGGUUUACAGAUUUUCAGGUGGUGGAAAAUGCAAAAUUCUAGGCAAAAACGGAGGCAGUCAUGAUACGAUUGGAUAUAAGUGAAUAUAUGGAGCGGCAAAGAAAGUAGUUGGCAAGAUUAAAGUGGAAGAAGAGUAAGACAAGGUGUUCUUGUCCAGAGUACGAUCAACCUCCUAUAAAUAUCCAUCCAUCCAGCAGCAUCCACACUCGGAGAAGCAGAGGCUCUCUUGGAAUGGAAAGCUAGCAUCUUCUCACCACAAGCUCUCCAUUCAUGGUCACUUCCAGCUGCUAAUGCUAGUGCCACCACAAUCACUCCAUGCAAAUGGUAUGGGAUCUCCUGCAACGGCCUUCGAAGCAUAAUAGAGAUAAGCCUACCAAGUGCAGGCUUGCAAGGUAAGCUUGAUAACUUGAGCUUCUCCUCAUUUCCAAACCUCUUCCGUCUCAAUCUCAGUGACAACCCACUCACUAGAACCAUCCUAGCUGAUAUUAGCACUCUUUCCAAACUCGUCUCCCUCAUUAUCUCCAUGAAUAAUCUCUUUGGAGUUCAACCUCUUUCAUCGGCUAACCUUUCUCACCUUUCAGAGCUCGACAUCUCGUCUAAUGAAAUAACUAGGCCUAUUCCUCCGUCUUUAGGUAACUUAACCAGGCUAACAAUCCUCUACCUCUAUAACAAUCAAAUUUUUC